Molecule: ribosomal RNA, 206 nt
Filed under: uncultured bacterium
Lineage: Bacteria
Description: partial 16S ribosomal RNA
Rfam family: Bacterial small subunit ribosomal RNA
Source: RNAcentral
UGCGUAGGCGGAUGCAAAGGCGCUUUGUGAAAUCCCACGGCUCAACCGUGGAAUUGCUUGGCGAACCAUGCAUCUUGAGGUUGGUAGAGGUCACUGGAACGAUAGGUGGAGCGGUGAAAUGCGUAGAUAUCUAUCGGAACGCCAACGGUGAAGACAGGUGACUGGGCCAAAUCUGACGCUGAGCACGAAAGCGUGGGGAGCAAACG